This 746-nucleotide long non-coding RNA is filed under the name Homo sapiens (human). RNAcentral describes it as "STARD13 antisense RNA". Lineage: Eukaryota; Metazoa; Chordata; Mammalia; Primates; Hominidae. The record is from RNAcentral.
GAGCUCUGUGGGCCCCAGGUGCCCCGGGAAAACUUGGGGGAGAAUGGGCAUCCCACCCCAGCACUUUCUAGGAAGAAGGGCAGCAUUUUGAAGGGCUGGAAGUAGAGGAAGGAGGUUGCGGGUAGAAGACUCCAUACUUUCUGUGACGCCUAUUCCUUAGUCAGAGGCAUGGCUUGCCUGGGCCUCUGGGUGCAGCUGCACAGAUUCAAGCAGCCUGAAGGAAAGGUGACUGACAGCUAAUGAUCUGAAAAGAACUUGUCUCAACUCAACGUCAUUCCUGGCAUUAUCGAACAAAGCAAUAAACCUCACAGAAUGGAAGCUACAGUGUCCAGGGCCAGCUCUGCUAAGGUAACCAAAGACAGAGAAGGAGGCAAAAGUGACAGAAGAAACUCAUGGGAAACCAACAGAAAUAUAAUGGCUUUGGCAGAAAUGCAAUUAUCAAUUGGGAGGAGAGCCUUUAUAUAACCAAAGAUAUUUUUGGACCAUGAAUUCAGAAAUUCUCGGAGCCACCCAUCAGUGCCUGAGCUUCAGUGAGUCCAUAUCCCAUGUCACCCACGGCAAAGGAGACUCUAAGACUUCUGAAGAGUUUCUUGCUUCUUUCCUGUGGGGCAGUGACUCCACUUCCCAGCAGUAAUGGAAUAUCCUGAAUUAGCUACAUUAAUGUUAGAACCAUUUGGACCUCACCCAGGACUUCAACUACAUUAUGCUAAAGUUACAGAACCCAAAUUUGGCAACUGUCUGCAUCU